CGGCAGCUACCAUGCAGUCGAGCGGAACGAGUUAUCUGAACCUUCGGGGAACGAUAACGGCGUCAGCGGCGGACGGGUGAGUAAUGCCUAGGAAAUUGCCCUGAUGUGGGGGAUAACCAUUGGAAACGAUGGCUAAUACCGCAUGAUGCCUACGGGCCAAAGAGGGGGACCUUCGGGCCUCUCGCGUCAGGAUAUGCCUAGGUGGGAUUAGCUAGUUGGUGAGGUAAGGGCUCACCAAGGCGACGAUCCCUAGCUGGUCUGAGAGGAUGAUCAGCCACACUGGAACUGAGACACGGUCCAGACUCCUACGGGAGGCAGCAGUGGGGAAUAUUGCACAAUGGGCGCAAGCCUGAUGCAGCCAUGCCGCGUGUAUGAAGAAGGCCUUCGGGUUGUAAAGUACUUUCAGUCGUGAGGAAGGCGGCGUCGUUAAUAUCGGCAUCGUUUGACGUUAGCGACAGAAGAAGCACCGGCUAACUCCGUGCCAGCAGCCGCGGUAAUACGGAGGGUGCGAGCGUUAAUCGGAAUUACUGGGCGUAAAGCGCAUGCAGGUGGUUUGUUAAGUCAGAUGUGAAAGCCCGGGGCUCAACCUCGGAAUAGCAUUUGAUACUGGCAAACUAGAGUACUGUACAGGUGGGUAGAAUUUCAGGUGUAACGGUGAAAUGCGUACAGAUCUGAAAGAAUACCGGUGGCGAAGGCGGCCCCCUGGACAGAUACUGACACUCAGAUGCGAAAGCGUGGGGAGCAAAGAGGAUUAGAUACCCUGGUAGUCCACGCCGUAAACUAUGUCUACUUGGAGGUUGUGGCCUUGACUCGUGGCUUUCGUAGCUAACGCGUUAAGUACACCGCCUGGGGUAGUACGGUCGCAGAUUAAACUCAAAUGAAUUGACGGGGGCCCGCACAGUUGAUGUAGCAUGUGG
RNAcentral lists this ribosomal RNA (917 nucleotides) under Vibrio neocaledonicus. RNAcentral describes it as "bacterial SSU rRNA". It matches the Rfam family "Bacterial small subunit ribosomal RNA", at positions 40 to 944 of the family's 1533-position model. Lineage: Bacteria; Pseudomonadati; Pseudomonadota; Gammaproteobacteria; Vibrionales; Vibrionaceae. The record is from RNAcentral.